UCCGUAGGUGAACCUGCGGAGGGAUCAUUACCGAGUUUACAACUCCCAAACCCAAUGUGAACCAUACCAAACUGUUGCCUCGGCGGGGUCACGCCCCGGGUGCGUCGCAGCCCCGGAACCAGGCGCCCGCCGGAGGGACCAACCAAACUCUUUUCUGUAGUCCCCUCGCGGACGUUAUUUCUUACAGCUCUGAGCAAAAAUUCAAAAUGAAUCAAAACUUUCAACAACGGAUCUCUUGGUUCUGGCAUCGAUGAAGAACGCAGCGAAAUGCGAUAAGUAAUGUGAAUUGCAGAAUUCAGUGAAUCAUCGAAUCUUUGAACGCACAUUGCGCCCGCCAGUAUUCUGGCGGGCAUGCCUGUCCGAGCGUCAUUUCAACCCUCGAACCCCUCCGGGGGGUCGGCGUUGGGGACCUCGGGAGCCCCUAAGACGGGAUCCCGGCCCCGAAAUACAGUGGCGGUCUCGCCGCAGCCUCUCCUGCGCAGUAGUUUGCACAACUCGCACCGGGAGCGCGGCGCGUCCACGUCCGUAAAACACCCAACUUUCUGAAAUGUUGACCUCGGAUCAGGUAGGAAUACCCGCUGAACUUAAGCAUAUCAAUAAGCGGAGGAA
This 609-nucleotide ribosomal RNA is filed under the name Trichoderma sp. G20-12. RNAcentral describes it as "eukaryotic LSU rRNA". The stretch from base 216 to 369 matches the Rfam family "5.8S ribosomal RNA". Lineage: Eukaryota; Fungi; Ascomycota; Sordariomycetes; Hypocreales; Hypocreaceae. The record is from RNAcentral.